CAGCCUCCUGAGCCCCUGGGCUUACAGGUCUGUGCCACUGUGCCCAACUUCAGAUGCUUCUUUAUAAUGCGUCCACUGUCUUGGACACAAUGGGCCCAAGAAAUUUUCUCUUUGAAGAGUGGAACAAACCAAAUCAUUGGGUAGGUGUAUCUUCAAAUUUGCUGAAUUUCAAAUCCUUCAUCGUG
RNAcentral lists this long non-coding RNA (185 nucleotides) under Ictidomys tridecemlineatus (thirteen-lined ground squirrel). RNAcentral describes it as "lncRNA (ENSSTOG00000029842.1)". Lineage: Eukaryota; Metazoa; Chordata; Mammalia; Rodentia; Sciuridae. The record is from RNAcentral.